RNAcentral lists this ribosomal RNA (1045 nucleotides) under Staphylococcus condimenti. RNAcentral describes it as "bacterial SSU rRNA". It matches the Rfam family "Bacterial small subunit ribosomal RNA", at positions 426 to 1461 of the family's 1533-position model. Lineage: Bacteria; Bacillati; Bacillota; Bacilli; Caryophanales; Staphylococcaceae. The record is from RNAcentral.
UAAAAUUCUGUUAUUAGGGAAGAACAAGUGCGUAGGUAACUAUGCGCACCUUGACGGUACCUAAUCAGAAAGCCACGGCUAACUACGUGCCAGCAGCCGCGGUAAUACGUAGGUGGCAAGCGUUAUCCGGAAUUAUUGGGCGUAAAGCGCGCGUAGGCGGUUUUUUAAGUCUGAUGUGAAAGCCCACGGCUCAACCGUGGAGGGUCAUUGGAAACUGGAAAACUUGAGUGCAGAAGAGGAAAGUGGAAUUCCAUGUGUAGCGGUGAAAUGCGCAGAGAUAUGGAGGAACACCAGUGGCGAAGGCGACUUUCUGGUCUGCAACUGACGCUGAUGUGCGAAAGCGUGGGGAUCAAACAGGAUUAGAUACCCUGGUAGUCCACGCCGUAAACGAUGAGUGCUAAGUGUUAGGGGGUUUCCGCCCCUUAGUGCUGCAGCUAACGCAUUAAGCACUCCGCCUGGGGAGUACGGCCGCAAGGCUGAAACUCAAAGGAAUUGACGGGGACCCGCACAAGCGGUGGAGCAUGUGGUUUAAUUCGAAGCAACGCGAAGAACCUUACCAAAUCUUGACAUCCUUUGACCGCUCUAGAGAUAGAGUCUUCCCCUUCGGGGGACAAAGUGACAGGUGGUGCAUGGUUGUCGUCAGCUCGUGUCGUGAGAUGUUGGGUUAAGUCCCGCAACGAGCGCAACCCUUAAGCUUAGUUGCCAGCAUUAAGUUGGGCACUCUAAGUUGACUGCCGGUGACAAACCGGAGGAAGGUGGGGAUGACGUCAAAUCAUCAUGCCCCUUAUGAUUUGGGCUACACACGUGCUACAAUGGACAGUACAAAGGGCAGCGAAACCGCGAGGUCAAGCAAAUCCCAUAAAGCUGUUCUCAGUUCGGAUUGUAGUCUGCAACUCGACUACAUGAAGCUGGAAUCGCUAGUAAUCGUAGAUCAGCAUGCUACGGUGAAUACGUUCCCGGGUCUUGUACACACCGCCCGUCACACCACGAGAGUUCGUAACACCCGAAGCCGGUGGAGUAACCUUUUAGGAGCUAGCCGUCGAAG